This 284-nucleotide unclassified non-coding RNA is filed under the name Hevea brasiliensis (rubber tree). Lineage: Eukaryota; Viridiplantae; Streptophyta; Magnoliopsida; Malpighiales; Euphorbiaceae. The record is from RNAcentral.
GUCGUCAUCUCUACGCGGCGGCGCAUACAGUUGCAGCGCCGCUAUCUCCUCCCCUAGUCUUCGGCGCCGGCGAUCCGAUGGGCACGAAGAGCUUUUUCGAGUCGACGCCGGAGAUGGAGAAGUUCCUCUGCGAGCGUCUCCUCGACCAGAGCCAGCCGAUCGCCGAGCGGUUCAGAGCACUCUUCUCCCUCCGCAAUCUCCGCGGCCCUGGCCCCCGAGACACUCUGAUUCAAGCCACCAGGGAUUCUUCAAAUUUGCUUGCACACGAGGCAGCAUUUGCACUA